AUUGUUUUGGUGUCUUGGAUUGCUCCCUUUGGGGAAAGCCGCGGUCAUGUCCUGCAGACACUCAAACAAGCCUGCAGAGAGGCCCACGUGAAGAGGAACCAACUUUCCAACCAGGAGUGAGCCACCUAUGAACUCCUGGGUAAAUACCUAGCAUUUCCCCUAUUCAGAGAGACAAAGGCCAGGCUUGAAGGACCUGAAUAUGACCCAGCAUGAACAACACAUUCUCGGACAGAAGAGGAGACUGACCAUCAAACAGGGAACAAAUCGUCUGUGUCUCUCCUGUUUCUUUUCCAUCUCAUGUAAGGAAGUCAAGUAGAGAUUGGUGAAUGGGCAAUAUGUUUGUUUCAUUCAACAAACAUAAAUCCCUGGGAAAGACUAGAGAAGAGUCAUCUGGCGAUAUCCUGCAUUCCCUUUGUGUAGGCAGAAUGACACCUUAAACAUGUCCAAGCCUGAAUUCCUGGAACCUAUAAACAUGUUAUGCUACAUGACACGAGAGACUUCACAGAUGUAAUUACGGUUAUGGAGCUUAGAUGAAUGAAUCCUGGAUUAUCUGGGUGGUCCAGUCUAAUCACAUGAACCCUUAAGAACAGAGAACUUUGGAUGGAGUCAGAGAGGUGCUGCAGAAGGAGAAGUCAGAAAGACUCAAUGUUUGAGAUGUACU
Molecule: long non-coding RNA, 661 nt
Filed under: Equus caballus (horse)
Lineage: Eukaryota; Metazoa; Chordata; Mammalia; Perissodactyla; Equidae
Description: lncRNA (ENSECAG00000035654.3)
Source: RNAcentral